CCUUCUAUCCACAGUGUCUCCAUUCAGCCUUGAUGUCACCUGAUAAAAUGAUUUUUCAUAUCAAGUGAGCUACCGUAAUGGGAUCUGGGAUGCAUUUUCUGACUCACCCCUCACAAUGGGACGAAGUGAGCAGAUCGAUUGUUUGGGCCCAUUCAACACAAAUUAAAACUUCCUAGGAUAAUCUCUACAAACGCUGCCUCCGCAGCAUGGAUACUAAGCAUAAGGAAUAUUGGCUGUUUUAUAAACAUACCUUCCCGCGAUUGGAUGGUACAGCAUGGUACAACACUCAAAUGGUCUCACAAUUGCAACGUUCCCGAUUGCCAAUCAUCCAUUCAUACGAUAUUGUUCAACGAAAUUUUCAGCGAAAUUUGAAUUUAAAAAGAAAUAUUAUUUAAAUAAUACAAUACAAAUACACAAAUUGAAAAAAAAACUAGCAAUUAAAAAUAUCAAUAGUUGUGUUUACAGAAACCGUUCAAAAAUAAAAUUUAUCGUCUUUUUUGUCUUCUCAUUUCACACUUCCGAAAUCACAUCACACACAUUAAAAUUGAUUAAUAUAAAUUAAAAAUUACUAAGUUUGACUAGAUUUAAAUGUCUUUUUGAACAAUCGUUUUUUUAUAAUGUGUUUGAAUAAUAGAACCUUUCCAUUGCAAAUGAAAUAAUUUUACCAACUGUGUUAGAAAAGGGAGUAAGUCCAUUUGUGGUAAAUAGAAUGUGAGCGUCUGGAAGUUUUAUCAGAGACUUCCGUCGAAACCAGUUCUUUCCAGUGCGAUCUUCCAAACUGCCCUUCUCAAAACUGCCGGUAAGACUAAUUUUAAGUUGGGUGCCAAAGUGUAACUGCCGGUUGCUCAGCGGGGAGCCUUCCUGAAACUCCCUGACAUCAAUACACCUCAGGGUCGGCAUGCUUAAAGGGCUAUUUCGAGACACAAGGAAUGACCGCACUGAAGCAUAGAAAAACUCACAUUAUUUGGUAUUGCUGACAACAUUUAUUCGGACUUUUCCGACACUCUUCCACACUGUCCCACUUUCUUAUACUACGCUAACCUGAGUUCCACGGUAUUCACUUCUUUGCCGCCAAUCAGCGGCUCUUCACGCAACGGAAUGGGUUCGGUCCUCCUAAUAGCGUCCUCUGCAGGUUCGUACGCCAUCCGGAGCCUCUCCAAGCGUGUUGACGGACUCGGAUUUUGGCUCGUAUCGAUGGAACUGCCGUUCCCGACUUGACACUCCUUUCCCGCCAAUUAGCGGCUAGCACUCCUCCACACUCAGACUUGGUGAUGGGAUGCAAUGGCGUCCUCUCCAGACUCAUGCGCCAUCCAGGAGCCUCUUCGAGUAUGUUGACGGACUCGGUCGUCGGCCUGCAUCUCCGGAACUGUCCCCAAGGGAAAGGGGGGGGGGUCAUCAACUUGGUUUUGUACCACCGAAUGGCGCGGCGCACUCUAUAGUUCCGGAAUUUACUAUUUCGUUCGGUAGAUUAAGGAGGACGAUCCUCUACCUUUCGCCAUCACCGUGUUAC
Molecule: long non-coding RNA, 1510 nt
Organism: Armigeres subalbatus
Lineage: Eukaryota; Metazoa; Arthropoda; Insecta; Diptera; Culicidae
Exons: 3
Source: RefSeq, a predicted model, not a curated record